UACGGAGGGUGCAGGCGUUAUCCGGAAUCACUGGGUUUAAAGGGUGCGUAGGCGGUCCGAUAAGUCAGAGGUGAAAGCUCAUCGCUUAACGAUGAAACUGCCUUUGAUACUGUCAGACUUGAAUUAGGAUAAGGUAAGCGGAAUGUGGCAUGUAGCGGUGAAAUGCAUAGAUAUGCCAUAGAACACCAAUUGCGUAGGCAGCUUACUACACGAUCAUUGACGCUGAGGCACGAAAGCGUGGGGAGCAAACAGG
Molecule: ribosomal RNA, 253 nt
Filed under: uncultured bacterium
Lineage: Bacteria
Description: partial 16S ribosomal RNA
Rfam family: Bacterial small subunit ribosomal RNA
Source: RNAcentral